GGGACUUUAGCUCAGUUGGUUAGAGCACGCCGCUCAUAACGGUGCGGUCGUAGGUUCAAGUCCUACAAGUCCCACCA
RNAcentral lists this transfer RNA (77 nucleotides) under Candidatus Aquarickettsia rohweri. RNAcentral's name for it is "tRNA-Met". It matches the Rfam family "tRNA". From Rfam's summary of the family: Transfer RNA (tRNA) molecules are approximately 80 nucleotides in length. RNAcentral also lists the same sequence under 2 other names. The record is from RNAcentral. Lineage: Bacteria; Pseudomonadati; Pseudomonadota; Alphaproteobacteria; Rickettsiales; Candidatus Midichloriaceae.